GUUAAGGAAAAGAACAAAGUUCAGGUAAGUAACUGACCCUGACCCUGGCCGUACCUAACAAGAAAAGCCACGGCCUAACUACCGUGCCCAGCAGCCGCGGGUAAUUACGUAAGGUGGCCAAGCGUUUGCCCGAGAUUUAUUGGGGCGUAAAGCGCUCGCAGGCGGGUCUUUUUAAGUCUGAUGUGAAAAGCCCACGGCUUAACCGGGAGGGUCAUUGGAAACUGGAGGACUUGAGUGCAGAAGAGGAGAGUGGAAUUCCAUUGUAGCGGUGAAAAUGCGUAGAGAUAUGGAGGGAACACCCAGGGGCAAAGGCGACUCUCUGGUCUGUAAACUGACGCUGAGGAGCGAAAAGCGUGGGUAGCGAACAGGAUUAGAUACCCCGGGUAGUCCACGCCGUAAACGAUGAGUGCUAGGUGUUAGGGGGUUUCCGCCCCUUAGUGCUGAAGUUAACGCAUUAAGCACUCCGCCUGGGGAGUACGGCCGCAAGGCUGAAACUCAAAAGAAUUGACGGGGACCCGCACAAGCGGUGGAGCAUGUGGUUUAAUUCGAAGCAACGCGAAGAACCUUACCAGGUCUUGACAUCCUUUCGACCUCCCUAGAGAUAGGGAUUUCCCUUCGGGGACGAAAGUGACAGGUGGUGCAUGGUUGUCGUCAGCUCGUGUCGUGAGAUGUUGGGUUAAGUCCCGCAACGAGCGCAACCCUUGAUCUUAGUUGCCAGCAUUAAGUUGGGCACUCUAAGGUGACUGCCGGUGACAAACCGGAGGAAGGUGGGGAUGACGUCAAAUCAUCAUGCCCCUUAUGACCUGGGCUACACACGUGCUACAAUGGAUGGUACAAAGGGCAGCGAAACCGCAAGGUCAAGCAAAUCCCAUAAAACCAUUCUCAGUUCGGAUUGUAGGCUGCAAUCGCCUACAUGAAGCCGGAAUCGCUAGUAAUCGCGGAUCAGCCAUGCCGCGGGUGAAUACGUUCCCGGGUUCUUGUACAAACAACCCCCCCCUCC
This 1000-nucleotide ribosomal RNA is filed under the name Oceanobacillus caeni. RNAcentral describes it as "bacterial SSU rRNA". It matches the Rfam family "Bacterial small subunit ribosomal RNA", at positions 419 to 1403 of the family's 1533-position model. The record is from RNAcentral. Lineage: Bacteria; Bacillati; Bacillota; Bacilli; Caryophanales; Bacillaceae.